RNAcentral lists this ribosomal RNA (245 nucleotides) under uncultured bacterium. Its description in RNAcentral is "partial 16S ribosomal RNA". It matches the Rfam family "Bacterial small subunit ribosomal RNA", at positions 118 to 350 of the family's 1533-position model. The record is from RNAcentral.
CGGGCAACCUGCCCUCAGCUCUGGGAUAACCCCGGGAAACCGGGGCUAAUACCGGAUACUCUCCUCUGACCACCUGGUCGGAUUUUUUUUUUUUUUGAGGAAAGGUCCGCCGGUCGGGGAUGGGCCCGCGGCCUAUCAGCUUGUUGGCGGGGUAACGCCUACCAAGGCAUCGACGGGUAGCUGGUCUGAGAGGACGACCAGCCACACUGGGACUGAGACACGGCCCAGACUCCGUACGGGAGGCA